UACGUAGGGUGCGAGCGUUAAUCGGAAUUACUGGGCGUAAAGCGUGCGCAGGCGGUUCUCCAAGUCCGUUGUGAAAGCCCCGGGCUCAACCUGGGAAUUGCAUUUGAGACUGAAUAGCUAGGGUGCGGAAGAGGGAAGCGGAAUUUCCGGUGUAGCGGUGAAAUGCGUAGAUAUCGGAAGGAACACCAGUGGCGAAAGCGGCUUCCUGGUCCAGCACCGACGUUCAGGCACGAAAGCGUGGGGAGCAAACGGG
Molecule: ribosomal RNA, 253 nt
Filed under: uncultured bacterium
Lineage: Bacteria
Description: partial 16S ribosomal RNA
Rfam family: Bacterial small subunit ribosomal RNA
Source: RNAcentral